This 391-nucleotide ribosomal RNA is filed under the name uncultured bacterium. RNAcentral describes it as "bacterial SSU rRNA". It matches the Rfam family "Bacterial small subunit ribosomal RNA", at positions 505 to 898 of the family's 1533-position model. The record is from RNAcentral.
GUGCCAGCAGCCGCGGUAAGACGAAGGAUCCAAGCGUUGUCCGGAUUUACUGGGUUUAAAGGGUGCGUAGGCGGAAAAUUAAGUCAGUGGUGAAAGCCCGCAGCUCAACUGUGGAACUGCCAUUGAAACUGGUUUUCUUGAAUAUAGCUGAGGCAGAUGGAAUAUAACAUGUAGCGGUGAAAUGCUUAGAUAUGUUAUAGAACACCGAUUGCGAAGGCAGUCUGCUAAACUAUUAUUGACGCUGAGGCACGAAAGCGUGGGGAGCGAACAGGAUUAGAUACCCUGGUAGUCCACGCCCUAAACGUUGAUUACUCGCUGUUGGCGAUAUACUGUCAGUGGCUAAGCGAAAGCGUUAAGUAAUCCACCUGGGAAGUACGACCGCAAGGUUGAA